GAUGAACGCUAGCUACAGGCUUAACACAUGCAAGUCGAGGGGCAGCAUGGUCUUAGCUUGCUAAGGCCGAUGGCGACCGGCGCACGGGUGAGUAACACGUAUCCAACCUGCCGUCUACUCUUGGACAGCCUUCUGAAAGGAAGAUUAAUACAAGAUGGCAUCAUGAGUCCACAUGUUCACAUGAUUAAAGGUAUUCCGGUAGACGAUGGGGAUGCGUUCCAUUAGAUAGUAGGCGGGGUAACGGCCCACCUAGUCUUCGAUGGAUAGGGGUUCUGAGAGGAAGGUCCCCCACAUUGGAACUGAGACACGGUCCAAACUCCUACGGGAGGCAGCAGUGAGGAAUAUUGGUCAAUGGGCGAGAGCCUGAACCAGCCAAGUAGCGUGAAGGAUGACUGCCCUAUGGGUUGUAAACUUCUUUUAUAAAGGAAUAAAGUCGGGUAUGGAUACCCGUUUGCAUGUACUUUAUGAAUAAGGAUCGGCUAACUCCGUGCCAGCAGCCGCGGUAAUACGGAGGAUCCGAGCGUUAUCCGGAUUUAUUGGGUUUAAAGGGAGCGUAGAUGGAUGUUUAAGUCAGUUGUGAAAGUUUGCGGCUCAACCGUAAAAUUGCAGUUGAUACUGGAUAUCUUGAGUGCAGUUGAGGCAGGCGGAAUUCGUGAUGUAGCGGUGAAAUGCUUAGAUAUCACGAAGAACUCCGAUUGCGAAGGCAGCCUGCUAAGCUGCAACUGACAUUGAGGCUCGAAAGUGUGGGUAUCAAACAGGAUUAGAUACCCUGGUAGUCCACACGGUAAACGAUGAAUACUCGCUGUUUGCGAUAUACAGCAAGCGGCCAAGCGAAAGCGUUAAGUAUUCCACCUGGGGAGUACGCCGGCAACGGUGAAACUCAAAGGAAUUGACGGGGGCCCGCACAAGCGGAGGAACAUGUGGUUUAAUUCGAUGAUACGCGAGGAACCUUACCCGGGCUUAAAUUGCAGAUGAAUUACGGUGAAAGCCGUAAGCCGCAAGGCAUCUGUGAAGGUGCUGCAUGGUUGUCGUCAGCUCGUGCCGUGAGGUGUCGGCUUAAGUGCCAUAACGAGCGCAACCCUUGUUGUCAGUUACUAACAGGUUCCGCUGAGGACUCUGACAAGACUGCCAUCGUAAGAUGUGAGGAAGGUGGGGAUGACGUCAAAUCAGCACGGCCCUUACGUCCGGGGCUACACACGUGUUACAAUGGGGGGUACAGAGGGCCGCUACCACGCGAGUGGAUGCCAAUCCCAAAAACCUCUCUCAGUUCGGACUGGAGUCUGCAACCCGACUCCACGAAGCUGGAUUCGCUAGUAAUCGCGCAUCAGCCACGGCGCGGUGAAUACGUUCCCGGGCCU
RNAcentral lists this ribosomal RNA (1358 nucleotides) under uncultured bacterium. Its description in RNAcentral is "bacterial SSU rRNA". It matches the Rfam family "Bacterial small subunit ribosomal RNA", at positions 28 to 1381 of the family's 1533-position model. The record is from RNAcentral.